GGGUUGUGAGGUUAAGCGACUAAGCGUACACGGUGGAUGCCCUGGCAGUCAGAGGCGAUGAAGGACGUGCUAAUCUGCGAUAAGCGUCGGUAAGGUGAUAUGAACCGUUAUAACCGGCGAUUUCCGAAUGGGGAAACCCAGUGUGUUUCGACACACUAUCAUUAACUGAAUCCAUAGGUUAAUGAGGCGAACCGGGGAACUGAAACAUCUAAGUACCCCGAGGAAAAGAAAUCAACCGAGAUUCCCCCAGUAGCGGCGAGCGAACGGGGAGCAGCCCAGAGCCUGAAUCAGUGUGUGUGUUAGUGGAAGCGUCUGGAAAGGCGCGCGAUACAGGGUGACAGCCCCGUACACAAAAAUGCACAUGCUGUGAGCUCGAUGAGUAGGGCGGGACACGUGGUAUCCUGUCUGAAUAUGGGGGGACCAUCCUCCAAGGCUAAAUACUCCUGACUGACCGAUAGUGAACCAGUACCGUGAGGGAAAGGCGAAAAGAACCCCGGCGAGGGGAGUGAAAAAGAACCUGAAACCGUGUACGUACAAGCAGUGGGAGCACGCUUAGGCGUGUGACUGCGUACCUUUUGUAUAAUGGGUCAGCGACUUAUAUUCUGUAGCAAGGUUAACCGAAUAGGGGAGCCGAAGGGAAACCGAGUCUUAACUGGGCGUUAAGUUGCAGGGUAUAGACCCGAAACCCGGUGAUCUAGCCAUGGGCAGGUUGAAGGUUGGGUAACACUAACUGGAGGACCGAACCGACUAAUGUUGAAAAAUUAGCGGAUGACUUGUGGCUGGGGGUGAAAGGCCAAUCAAACCGGGAGAUAGCUGGUUCUCCCCGAAAGCUAUUUAGGUAGCGCCUCGUGAAUUCAUCUCCGGGGGUAGAGCACUGUUUCGGCAAGGGGGUCAUCCCGACUUACCAACCCGAUGCAAACUGCGAAUACCGGAGAAUGUUAUCACGGGAGACACACGGCGGGUGCUAACGUCCGUCGUGAAGAGGGAAACAACCCAGACCGCCAGCUAAGGUCCCAAAGUCAUGGUUAAGUGGGAAACGAUGUGGGAAGGCCCAGACAGCCAGGAUGUUGGCUUAGAAGCAGCCAUCAUUUAAAGAAAGCGUAAUAGCUCACUGGUCGAGUCGGCCUGCGCGGAAGAUGUAACGGGGCUAAACCAUGCACCGAAGCUGCGGCAGCGACGCUGAUGCGUUGUUGGGUAGGGGAGCGUUCUGUAAGCCUGUGAAGGUGUGCUGUGAGGCAUGCUGGAGGUAUCAGAAGUGCGAAUGCUGACAUAAGUAACGAUAAAGCGGGUGAAAAGCCCGCUCGCCGGAAGACCAAGGGUUCCUGUCCAACGUUAAUCGGGGCAGGGUGAGUCGACCCCCUAAGGCGAGGCCGAAAGGCGUAGUCGAUGGGAAACAGGUUAAUAUUCCUGUACUUGGUGUUACUGCGAAGGGGGGACGGAGAAGGCUAUGUUGGCCGGGCGACGGUUGUCCCGGUUUAAGCGUGUAGGCUGGUUUUCCAGGCAAAUCCGGAAAAUCAAGGCUGAGGCGUGAUGACGAGGCACUACGGUGCUGAAGCAACAAAUGCCCUGCUUCCAGGAAAAGCCUCUAAGCAUCAGGUAACAUCAAAUCGUACCCCAAACCGACACAGGUGGUCAGGUAGAGAAUACCAAGGCGCUUGAGAGAACUCGGGUGAAGGAACUAGGCAAAAUGGUGCCGUAACUUCGGGAGAAGGCACGCUGAUAUGUAGGUGAAGUCCCUCGCGGAUGGAGCUGAAAUCAGUCGAAGAUACCAGCUGGCUGCAACUGUUUAUUAAAAACACAGCACUGUGCAAACACGAAAGUGGACGUAUACGGUGUGACGCCUGCCCGGUGCCGGAAGGUUAAUUGAUGGGGUUAGCCGCAAGGCGAAGCUCUUGAUCGAAGCCCCGGUAAACGGCGGCCGUAACUAUAACGGUCCUAAGGUAGCGAAAUUCCUUGUCGGGUAAGUUCCGACCUGCACGAAUGGCGUAAUGAUGGCCAGGCUGUCUCCACCCGAGACUCAGUGAAAUUGAACUCGCUGUGAAGAUGCAGUGUACCCGCGGCAAGACGGAAAGACCCCGUGAACCUUUACUAUAGCUUGACACUGAACAUUGAGCCUUGAUGUGUAGGAUAGGUGGGAGGCUUAGAAGUGUGGACGCCAGUCUGCAUGGAGCCGACCUUGAAAUACCACCCUUUAAUGUUUGAUGUUCUAACGUUGACCCGUAAUCCGGGUUGCGGACAGUGUCUGGUGGGUAGUUUGACUGGGGCGGUCUCCUCCUAAAGAGUAACGGAGGAGCACGAAGGUUGGCUAAUCCUGGUCGGACAUCAGGAGGUUAGUGCAAUGGCAUAAGCCAGCUUGACUGCGAGCGUGACGGCGCGAGCAGGUGCGAAAGCAGGUCAUAGUGAUCCGGUGGUUCUGAAUGGAAGGGCCAUCGCUCAACGGAUAAAAGGUACUCCGGGGAUAACAGGCUGAUACCGCCCAAGAGUUCAUAUCGACGGCGGUGUUUGGCACCUCGAUGUCGGCUCAUCACAUCCUGGGGCUGAAGUAGGUCCCAAGGGUAUGGCUGUUCGCCAUUUAAAGUGGUACGCGAGCUGGGUUUAGAACGUCGUGAGACAGUUCGGUCCCUAUCUGCCGUGGGCGCUGGAGAACUGAGGGGGGCUGCUCCUAGUACGAGAGGACCGGAGUGGACGCAUCACUGGUGUUCGGGUUGUCAUGCCAAUGGCACUGCCCGGUAGCUAAAUGCGGAAGAGAUAAGUGCUGAAAGCAUCUAAGCACGAAACUUGCCCCGAGAUGAGUUCUCCCUGACUCCUUGAGAGUCCUGAAGGAACGUUGAAGACGACGACGUUGAUAGGCCGGGUGUGUAAGCGCAGCGAUGCGUUGAGCUAACCGGUACUAAUGAACCGUGAGGCUUAACCUUACAACGCCGAAGGUGUUU
RNAcentral lists this ribosomal RNA (2933 nucleotides) under Escherichia coli. Its description in RNAcentral is "23S ribosomal RNA". It matches the Rfam family "Bacterial large subunit ribosomal RNA". Lineage: Bacteria; Pseudomonadati; Pseudomonadota; Gammaproteobacteria; Enterobacterales; Enterobacteriaceae. The record is from RNAcentral.